UACGUAGGUCCCGAGCGUUGUCCGGAUUUAUUGGGCGUAAAGCGAGCGCGGGUGGUUUAUUAAGUCUGGUGUAAAAGGCAGUGGCUCAACCAUUGUAUGCAUUGGAAACUGGUAGACUUGAGUGCAGGAGAGGAGAGUGGAAUUCCAUGUGUAGCGGUGAAAUGCGUAGAUAUAUGGAGGAACACCGGUGGCGAAAGCGGCUCUCUGGCCUGUAACUGACGCUGAGGCUCGAAAGCGUGGGGAGCAAACAGG
Molecule: ribosomal RNA, 252 nt
Filed under: uncultured bacterium
Lineage: Bacteria
Description: partial 16S ribosomal RNA
Rfam family: Bacterial small subunit ribosomal RNA
Source: RNAcentral